UCUUCCCUCUGGCGGCGUGCCUAAUACAUGCAAGUCGAGCGAACAGACGAGGAGCUUGCUCCUCUGACGUUAGCGGCGGACGGGUGAGUAACACGUGGAUAACCUACCUAUAAGACUGGGAUAACUUCGGGAAACCGGAGCUAAUACCGGAUAAUAUAUUGAACCGCAUGGUUCAAUAGUGAAAAACGGUUUUGCUGUCACUUAUAGAUGGAUCCGCGCCGCAUUAGCUAGUUGGUAAGGUAACGGCUUACCAAGGCAACGAUGCGUAGCCGACCUGCGAGGGUGAUCGGCCACACUGGAACUGAGACACGGUCCAGACUCCUACGGGAGGCAGCAGUAGGGAAUCUGCCGCAAUGGGCGAAAGCCUGACGGAGCAACGCCGCGUGAGUGAUGAAGGUCGUCGGAGCGUAAAACUCUGUUAUUAGGGAAGAACAAAUGUGUAAGUAACUAUACACGUCUUGACGGUACCUAAUCAGAAAGCCACGGCUAAGUAGGUG
RNAcentral lists this ribosomal RNA (497 nucleotides) under uncultured bacterium. RNAcentral's name for it is "partial 16S ribosomal RNA". It matches the Rfam family "Bacterial small subunit ribosomal RNA", at positions 36 to 507 of the family's 1533-position model. The record is from RNAcentral.